CUGACUCUAAGCACCUCUGAUUAGAUGUCAUUCUAUGUCUGGGAUGAUCUCAGGACUAUGGUAUUGUCCUCUUGUGCUAUCAAUUUUAACUCACAAAUGGAUGUCGAUGUCAUUUAUUCUCUUAUUCUACAGACCUUCAUUGGCUACAUGGGUAGUAUGGGCAAGAGAUAGGUGGUCCUGACGGAGGAGUGGGAAGAGCCAGUGCUCUGGAGUGGGAUUACUUUCUGGCUGCCUGCUCAGGAAAGUUGUUUCACCAUUCUCAACCUCAGUUUCCACAUCUGUAAUAUAUGGAAAUUAAUUUCUACCUCAUAGGAUUGUUGUAAGUAUUAAAUGAGAUAUUAUUGUAAUGCUUAAUUAAAUGAGAUAAUAUAUUUAAAAAUAUAAUUCCCCUAGAUAUAAUACAUAUGUAUACAUAAUAUAUACAUAUAAUACAUAUGUAUACAUAACAUAUACGUAUAAUACGUAUGUAUACAUAAUCUAUGCAUAUAAUACAUAUGUAUACAUAAUCUGUGCGUAUAUAAUACAUAUGUAUACAUAAUCUGUGCGUAUAUAAUACAUAUGUAUACAUAAGCUGUGCAUAUAUAAUACAUAUGUAUACAUAAGCUGUGCGUAUAUAAUACAUAUGUAUACAUAAGCUGUGCGUAUAGAAUACAUAUGUAUACAUAAGCUGUGCGUAUAGAAUACAUAUGUAUACAUAAUCUGUGCGUAUAGAAUACAUAUGUAUACAUAAUCUGUGCGUAUAGAAUACAUAUGUAUACAUAAUCUGUGCGUAUAUAAUACAUAUGUAUACAUAAGCUGUGCGUAUAGAAUACAUAUGUAUACAUAAGCUGUGCGUAUAUAAUACAUAUGUAUACAUAAGCUGUGCGUAUAGAAUACAUAUGUAUACAUAAUCUGUGCGUAUAGAAUAUGUAUACAUAAGCUGUGCGUAUAUAAUACAUAUGUAUACAUAAGCUGUGCGUAUAUAAUACAUAUGUAUACAUAAGCUGUGCGUAUAUAAUACAUAUGUAUACAUAAGCUGUGCGUAUAUAAUACAUAUGUAUACAUAAGCUGUGCGUAUAGAAUACAUAUGUAUACAUAAGCUGUGCGUAUAUAAUACAUAUGUAUACAUAACCUGUGCAUAUAUAAUACAUAUGUAUACAUAAUCUGUACAUAUAUAAUACAUAUGUAUAUAUAAAGGGAUUGGUAACCAAAUCUCUAUAUAAUAUUAUAUCUCUGUUACGGGAGUGGGGCAGGGAAGUGCUGGAUAGAGAAGGGCAGGGUCCUUGGCAAAAGCUCCAACUUCAGGCCUGUGCCCACAGACCUAAGUGAGAAGAUGCGCUCCUGUUUUCAAGCCUGAAUGUUGCAUUUUCCAAGACCACUGUGGCCUGCCACACUCCCCAUCCUGUGUCCAUACAAACCUGAGACCUUAGAGGGCACACCCACAAGUGGCUGCACAUUGAGACCAGCAGACCAGCAGACCAGCAGACUAGAAGACCAGCAGACCAGCAGACCAGCAGACUAGCAGACCAGCAGACCAGUGAUGGUGGAACAAUGCAGCAGAAAAAGAGAGAAAAGGAGAGACGUCUGGACACCGAGGGGAGUUCAGCCUGAGGUGGUUGGAGAAGAGUCCGCUCACUGGGCCCAACUCCAGAGGAAACCACAUUCCCACUCCAUCCCCCUUUCUGGCUCCCCAUCCAUCUUGCUGAGAGCCACCUCCAUCACUCAAUAAAACCUUGCUCUCAUCCUUCAA
Molecule: long non-coding RNA, 1729 nt
Filed under: Homo sapiens (human)
Lineage: Eukaryota; Metazoa; Chordata; Mammalia; Primates; Hominidae
Description: non-protein coding lnc-QDPR-1:2
Source: RNAcentral